Molecule: long non-coding RNA, 1360 nt
Filed under: Oncorhynchus kisutch (coho salmon)
Lineage: Eukaryota; Metazoa; Chordata; Actinopteri; Salmoniformes; Salmonidae
Description: lncRNA (ENSOKIG00005044047.1)
Source: RNAcentral
AGUGUCACGUUGUGACCUUUAUUUCCUUUGUUUGGUCUUUUUUUAGUAUGGUCAGGGCGUGAGUUGGGCAGUCUAUGUUUGUUUUUCUAUGUUUGGUUUCUGUUUCGGCCUAGUAUGGCUCUCAAUCAGAGGCAGGUGUCGUUUGUUGUCUCUGAUUGAGAAUCAUACUUAGGUAGCCUGGGUUUCACUGUUGGUUUGUGGGUGUUUGUUUCCGUGUCAGUGUUUGUCGCCACACGGUACUGUUUCCGUGUCAGUGUUUGUCGCCACACGGUACUGUUUCCGUGUCAGUGUUUGUCGCCACACGGUACUGUUUCCGUGUCAGUGUUUGUCACCACACGGUACUGUUUCCGUGUCAGUGUUUGUCGCCACACGGUACUGUUUCCGUGUCAGUGUUUGUCGCCACACGGUACUGUUUCCGUGUCAGUGUUUGUCGCCACACGGUACUGUUUCCGUGUCAGUGUUUGUCGCCACACGGUACUGUUUCCGUGUCAGUGUUUGUCGCCACACGGUACUGUUUCCGUGUCAGUGUUUGUCGCCACACGGUACUGUUUCCGUGUCAGUGUUUGUCGCCACACGGUACUGUUUCCGUGUCAGUGUUUGUCGCCACACGGUACUGUUUCCGUGUCAGUGUUUGUCGCCACACGGUACUGUUUCCGUGUCAGUGUUUGCCGCCACACGGUACUGUUUCCGUGUCAGUGUUUGUCGCCACACGGUACUGUUCCGUGUCAGUGUUUGUCGCCACACGGUACUGUUUCCGUGUCAGUGUUUGUCGCCACACGGUACUGUUUCCGUGUCAGUGUUUGUCGCCACACGGUACUGUUUCCGUGUCAGUGUUUGUCGCCACACGGUACUGUUUCCGUGUCAGUGUUUGUCGCCACACGGUACUGUUUCCGUGUCAGUGUUUGUCGCCACACGGUACUGUUUCCGUGUCAGUGUUUGUCGCCACACGGUACUGUUUCCGUGUCAGUGUUUGUCGCCACACGGUACUGUUUCCGUGUCAGUGUUUGUCGCCACACGGUACUGUUUCGGUUUCGUUUCUUCACGUUUCUUUAGUUCUUUUUGUAUUCAGUGUUCAGUGCUUUCUUUGAUUAAAGUUAUGGACACUUACCACUCUGCAUCUUGGUCCGAUCCUUACUCCUCUUCAGACGAAGAGGAGAUCUGCUGUUACAUAUAGUGGUUGUUUACAUUUAAUUUGUUUACAAACAGAGUAAAACAAGCAUAUAUUUUGGGGGAUUCUGAUGGGGUACGACAGUUGAACUAAGCUUAUGAGGAAUUUAUAAAUGAUAUUCUUCAAUAAUCAAUGGGUACAUAUCAUGGAUUUCUACCCCCCAAAAAUGGAUGUAUCAACUGCAGAUUGCUC